AGUGAACGCUGGCGGCAGGCCUAACACAUGCAAGUCGAACGGCAGCACAAGAGAGCUUGCCCUCUGGGUGGCGAGUGGCGGACGGGUGAGGAAUGCAUCGGAAUCUGCCCAUUUGUGGGGGAUAACCUCGGGAAACCGGGACUAAUACCGCAUACGACCUACGGGUGAAAGCAGGGGAUCUUCGGACCUUGCGCAGAUGGAUGAGCCGAUGCCGGAUUAGCUAGUUGGAGGGGUAAAGGCCCACCAAGGCGACGAUCCGUAGCUGGUCUGAGAGGAUGAUCAGCCACACUGGGACUGAGACACGGCCCAGACUCCUACGGGAGGCAGCAGUGGGGAAUAUUGGACAAUGGGCGCAAGCCUGAUCCAGCCAUGCCGCGUGUGUGAAGAAGGCCUUCGGGUUGUAAAGCACUUUUGUUGGGAAAGAAAAGCAGCCGGUUAAUACCCGGUUGUCAUGACGGUACCCAAAGAAUAAGCACCGGCUAACUUCGUG
This 490-nucleotide ribosomal RNA is filed under the name uncultured bacterium. Its description in RNAcentral is "partial 16S ribosomal RNA". It matches the Rfam family "Bacterial small subunit ribosomal RNA", at positions 29 to 507 of the family's 1533-position model. The record is from RNAcentral.